AGAGUUUGAUCCUGGCUCAGGAUGAACGCUGGCGGCGUGCUUAACACAUGCAAGUCGAACGGAGUUAAAAGUGGAAGCUCUCGGGUGGAAGCUUUUAACUUAGUGGCGGACGGGUGAGUAACGCGUGGGUAACCUGCCUUACACAGGGGGAUAACAGUUGGAAACGGCUGCUAAUACCGCAUAAGCGCACAGUGUUGCAUGACACAGUGUGAAAAGAUUUUAUCGGUGUAAGAUGGACCCGCGUCUGAUUAGCUAGUUGGUGGGGUAAUGGCCUACCAAGGCAACGAUCAGUAGCCGGCUUGAGAGAGUGAACGGCCACAUUGGGACUGAGACACGGCCCAAACUCCUACGGGAGGCAGCAGUGGGGAAUAUUGCACAAUGGGGGAAACCCUGAUGCAGCGACGCCGCGUGAGUGAAGAAGUAUUUCGGUAUGUAAAGCUCUAUCAGCAGGGACGAAUAAAUGACGGUACCUGACUAAGAAGCCCCGGCUAACUACGUGCCAGCAGCCGCGGUAAU
Molecule: ribosomal RNA, 516 nt
Filed under: uncultured bacterium
Lineage: Bacteria
Description: bacterial SSU rRNA
Rfam family: Bacterial small subunit ribosomal RNA
Source: RNAcentral